Molecule: ribosomal RNA, 468 nt
Filed under: uncultured bacterium
Lineage: Bacteria
Description: partial 16S ribosomal RNA
Rfam family: Bacterial small subunit ribosomal RNA
Source: RNAcentral
GACGAACGCUGGCGGCGUGCUUAACACAUGCAAGUCGAACGGAAAGGCCCUGCUUUUGUGGGGUGCUCGAGUGGCGAACGGGUGAGUAACACGUGAGUAACCUGCCCUUGACUUUGGGAUAACUUCAGGAAACUGGGGCUAAUACCGGAUAGGAGCUCCUGCUGCAUGGUGGGGGUUGGAAAGUUUCGGCGGUUGGGGGUGGACUCGCGGCUUAUCAGCUUGUUGGUGGGGUAGUGGCUUACCAAGGCUUUGACGGGUAGCCGGCCUGAGAGGGUGACCGGCCACAUUGGGACUGAGAUACGGCCCAGACUCCUACGGGAGGCAGCAGUGGGGAAUAUUGCACAAUGGGCGGAAGCCUGAUGCAGCAACGCCGCGUGCGGGAUGACGGCCUUCGGGUUGUAAACCGCUUUCGCCUGUGACGAAGCGUGAAUGACGGUAAUGGGUAAAGAAGCACCGGCUAACUACGUG